UGGGGAAUAUUGGACAAUGGGGGCAACCCUGAUCCAGCAAUGCCGCGUGAGUGAUGAAGGCCUUAGGGUUGUAAAGCUCUUUCGGCGGGGACGAUGAUGACGGUACCCGCAGAAGAAGCCCCGGCUAACUUCGUGCCAGCAGCCGCGGUAAUACGAAGGGGGCGAGCGUUGUUCGGAAUUACUGGGCGUAAAGGGCGCGUAGGCGGCGCCGGAAGUCAGAUGUGAAAGCCCCGGGCUCAACCUGGGAACUGCAUUUGAUACUCUGGUGCUGGAGUUCGGGAGAGGAGAGUGGAAUUCCCAGUGUAGAGGUGAAAUUCGUAGAUAUUGGGAAGAACACCGGUGGCGAAGGCGGCUCUCUGGACCGAAACUGACGCUGAGGCGCGAAAGCGUGGGGAGCAAACAGGAUUAGAUACCCCCGUAGUCC
RNAcentral lists this ribosomal RNA (424 nucleotides) under uncultured bacterium. RNAcentral describes it as "bacterial SSU rRNA". It matches the Rfam family "Bacterial small subunit ribosomal RNA", at positions 355 to 796 of the family's 1533-position model. The record is from RNAcentral.